CUUUUCUAAGACUGGUUAUUUGGUCUCUUCCUGAAGAGAUUCAAAUCCCCAUUACCAGGGGGUCUAUAAUGUGAUAAUAAUGUUUGUUAAGUAUAAAAGCUAUGAUAAGGACACACAAGAAAGAGAAAAGUAAGGUAGGAAAACACCUGGCAAGACUAAAGGAGAGGAGUUAAAGUAAACAGAGGUAAAUACAAGGAAAACAAAAUAUCAGUGGCAUCACAAGAUAAAAAAACAUACAGUAACAUACAGAAACAGACUUGGAGAUAGGUGUCUGAAAUGUAAGCUGGAAGAGAAGAUGUUAGGACUGAUUGAUUCAGUUGUUAGGAUAGGAGGAAAUUAUCUAUUCAUACAGUCCCUUCCGACUUUCCCCUCAUUUCUGCAGAUGAGGAUAUUUUCUCAUUGAGGCAGGCUGGCUUCAUUCCAAGACUUGUUUGUGUGCCAUAAAAGUAGAGGCAAGAGAACUUUCUUUCCAAGCUAAUUACGCUCUAUUGAAAGACUGUUGCACUGCAUAUAUGGGUGAAAGCCUGGGUAAUGAUUCGUAUCACACAGGUGACUAAAAAGAGGGAGAAAGCUAAGCGGUUGCUGAGAUGGUGAAGCCCUGGUAUUUAGAAGGAUACUCCACACAUGCAGAAGAUCAUUCAAAGAUGUAUAAUUCUUAGUCAAAAGCAAGAAAGGAUCAAUUUUGCACAAUGAGGAGAAGUCUUUGGGCUGAGAUGCAGCUGUCCCAUACUAAAAGGAUCAGAGACAAUGUAGUUUGUGCCCAAAAUUAAUAGGUAAUAUGUGUUUCUGUAGCAGUUUUGAUUAACUAUUAUAGCUUGAUAUUUAGACUAGAUUGAGUACCCAGCAUGGUAUAACAGAAUAUCUUUUCUGUUUAGUCUUAAUAAGGGAGAGGAAAAUGCCUUUAAUAUCACAAUAAAACAUGGUAGGAACAAGAUUUUCUUAAGAUCACCAUAUGUUAAUUAGAGUCAGUGGAUUCAGAUUAUUUUCAUAUCUUAUAUCUCAGUAUCUUAAAUAAAAUUUUAUUGUCUGAGGAAGCUACUGCUAAGGAUGUUUUAGUCAGAGCAAGACACACAGACAACCAAACAAUAAUAUUUACAGUGGGGAAAGAAAAAGAACAAAUAUGAACCUUUUGGCUUAUAUUUGGAAAGGGCAGCUGGGGAAAGAUCUUAAACGUGUUCAAACAUCACCAGUAAUACAGUCAAGUAUGGCAAACUGGAGGUGAAUUAUAUGCCUUUCUUUUUCUUUCGAAAUGAGCAAAAUAUGGCUUACAAGAAUGCCUGAAACUUUCCAGGAUUUAGUAAUAACUGUAUAACUCUUUUGCAGCACUACCUUCUCUCAGCAUUCAGAAGCACAGUGAGUUAAACUGCUGUAUGCUUGAGCUGGUGGGAUCACCAUCGUCUGCAAUAAAGUACCCAGCUUCCAACUGAAAAACAGAAGAGCAGACUCUCCUUGGCCAGAAGUCAAUGCUGAGAUCUCUGUGCGUACUUCUUCAGCAUGAUGGACAGAUAACAGGAUGAAGACUCCGCAAGAUCAUCAGUUCAACAGUCCCAGCUUGUGAUAAGGCAUGAGGAGUCUGUGCAGUCUCUUACUCAGCAUCUUUCAGUCUAAUGAAGGCUCACGUAAUGGCUGAGAGACAGCCCUCCCUCCUGCCAGGUCAGGAUUUCUGAGAUUCCUGGUACAGCCAAAGGUGGUGAACUGACAGAAAUGCUUUGGAUGCUCUUUACAGGUAUUCAGCACAACAGGAAUUUUCUGAUUUAAGCAAAAGGAAGAGUGGAUCUGCCUUACUGCAAAAGCUCUGCCAAUCAGCAUGGAAAAAGCAGAGUCCAGGAGUAAAUACUAUAAGAAAGCAUGUCGUGGCUUCAUGUACGCAAGACACUUCAGCAAUGCUAUAAUCUAUUGGAGGUGGGCAGGAAAGAGAAAAAUUGUUGUGUUUUUUUUUUCUAAGAUGUCUUCAGUAACUAGAAAUGUACCCUGGAAGGAGUCAUCCUGAUGGACAGUGUGAUGGCUCUUUUGUCACUUAUACUGCAGUUUCAAGUCUGGAAGCAACCGGCUAUCUCUGGUGGUCCUGCGUUCUCGGCUACUGACAGGAUUGGUCAUACAAAUGGCAACAGUACGUCAGAGCUUUGAAAUGGCUCAGUGGCAGCUGAGGCUGAGAAGCAAAACUGCUGUUAUUACUCCUAUGAGAAAGAAUGGAAGAUUGAUUUUAAUGACAACUUUGUCAGUGUUUAGCAAUGCUGUUUUUAAGCAGCUUAAAACAUAAUUUCCAAUUUCAACGACGUUCAGCCUUUCCUUUCCACAAAGGCUUAUAGUAGACCAGUGGUAUGCAACUGGCAUGAGCCAGAGCCAACAGAUGCCUGUAUUAAGGUGGUACCACCUGGGCUGAAGCCCAUGGAAAACUCAAAAUAUUCAUUUAAGAGUUUGCAGUGCUGUUUAUAACCAAACAUGGACAAGUAGUGUAAAUGAAUCUGUAGCGGUGACUCCAAUGGACAGCUGCAGAACUACAGAAAUGGAGCUGGGAGCAGGAUGUAGCUCACAGAGCUAACAGAAUAGUAAAGAGAAAGAAAGAAGACAAAUGGUAAUUAAAAAAAAACUCUGGAGAAUGCUGAUGAACCUGAUUUGACACCACUAGUGCUUCAGGACUAAGGGUAUGAAACAGGACAAUAGAAAAAAAUCCAGCUUUGAAUACUCUUGCUUUACAAUAAGAAAUACCAUUUGGUCUAUAGAUAAGAAGUAGGAAUAAAAAUCUGCCUUAAAACUGCUUGUGAGAAGGAAAAGAAUCGUUUGUUAUUUUAUACCAAUCUGUCCUUUGUUCUAAUGUCUUCAAUACCAGUGCUUAAUUCUCUGAACUCACAUUUGUUCUAAUCUGGUGUAGCAGAAAUGCUAACUCACAGCCUGAAGCAGUGAUUGAGCACCUGGUGGGACGGCAGGGCCAACCCAGGGGAGCUCAGGUGCAUGCAAUGUACUUGAGUGAGCAGAAGGGGUGUAGCCAGGAUCCACCCCUUCCCAAACCUCAUUUAAGGGUUGGCAGUGGAGGCAAGGAUUUCUUGCUGGAGGUUCCUGCCUACCAGAGGCCUUCUGAAAGACCAGAGCUUGGAGUUAGCAGCCUUUUGCUGUACAAAUAAUAAAGUCCCCAGAAGAACAUUGACUGCUCUUAACUGAAGUUCCUAAACCUGAAUUUUCAGAGGAAUUGGAUUUUAUUCAGCUUAUACAACCCUCUGUGAUUUUUAAGGAGUUGACCUGUGUUUAUGAAGAAGCCUUAUGUGUUUUCCCAGACUUCAGGAUUUUUCUUCUGCGAGUUUAUGAGAGAGACACAAAGAAAAAGCAAUAUCCCUUUCUUGAGCUUUGCACCUCUUUCUCCAGCAUUGAAGAUGUUCAAAGCAGAGUGUGUUGCAAAAGUCUCUGCUGUCUCAAAUGAAAUAGGAAUGGUUAUUGAGUUCCCUUUUUUUUUUAAUAGGUACUGUUUUCCAAAACAGGUUUGUAAGGAUGCGUUUUCCAGAUCCUGUUCAAAUCAUCGUUACUUCCCCGUACUGUUGAAAAUUGCUGAAAGCUUGAGCUGUCCUUGUGGCAUCUUGGCAUGAAUAUGACUGAUUCUGUGAAGUAUUCACCGGUGUAACCAAAGGAAAUAUAGGCAGUUUUAGCAAUAUAAAGUCCAUGAAGAUGCUCACAACUUAAGGAUCACGGUGCUGGAAGUGCAUACAUCCAGAACAGAAAAUUGUAAAACAAAAAAAAAAGACAAGGACUGCAGCCUUUUGGAAGACUCCAUCAUGGCUCACAGCUUCAGUUAUCAGUCCCAAUAAAAAAUUAAAAUGGUGGUUUAUGUCGUUUGAAAAAGUCACCUUUUCCUGGAGAUUC
Molecule: long non-coding RNA, 3852 nt
Organism: Gallus gallus (chicken)
Lineage: Eukaryota; Metazoa; Chordata; Aves; Galliformes; Phasianidae
Exons: 6
Source: RefSeq, a predicted model, not a curated record